This 468-nucleotide ribosomal RNA is filed under the name uncultured bacterium. RNAcentral describes it as "partial 16S ribosomal RNA". It matches the Rfam family "Bacterial small subunit ribosomal RNA", at positions 28 to 507 of the family's 1533-position model. The record is from RNAcentral.
GACGAACGCUGGCGGCGUGCUUAACACAUGCAAGUCGAACGGAAAGGCCCUGCUUUUGUGGGGUGCUCGAGUGGCGAACGGGUGAGUAACACGUGAGUAACCUGCCCUUGACUUUGGGAUAACUUCAGGAAACUGGGGCUAAUACCGGAUAGGAGCUCCUGCUGCAUGGUGGGUGUUGGAAAGUUUCGGCGGUUGGGGAUGGACUCGCGGCUUAGCAGCUUGUUGGUGGGGUAGUGGCUUACCAAGGCUUUGACGGGUAGCCGGACUGAGAGGGUGACCGGCCACAUUGGGACUGAGAUACGGCCCAGACUGCUACGGGAGGCAGCAGUGGGGAAUAUUGCACGAUGGGCGGAAGCCUGAUGCAGCAACGCCGGGUGCGGGAUGACUGCCUUCGGGUUGUAAACCGCGUGCGCCUGUGACGAAGCGUGAGUGACGGUAAUGGGUAAAGAAGCACCGGCUAACUACGUG